GUGCGCGCACAUACACCCACGCCAAGUCACCACCUUGUCGCUCGCUCUCCAGAGCACACAAUCAUCGGCGAGAAGACGACGAGGACAGGGGCUGCGCACACUUCUACGACGGCGUGUGCCUGCCUCGUUGCCGCCACCUAGUCUGGCAAGCUCCCUCCUGCUCGUGGUCAGACACAGAUCGAAGUACAGUCACACAUGCGAAAACACGACCACAGCACCGGACGGUAAGGCGAAGACGAUGAGCACGGCAUCCGUAGUGAAGUUGAUGCCGCACGAGUACCUGCACGUGGAGGACACGAACACGUGUGAGGUGCUCACCCUUGUCGGUCCCAUCACCUACACCCUGUACGACCAUCACCGCCAGUUGCACGAAACACCGCAGCCAUGCGUUGUGGUGCCGCCCAGCCAAUUCGUCACGGUGAAGAAUCCGAUGCAUGCGGUACCGACCUCUCUCAAAGAUAAGGCCGAUGCGCCGCCAGUGUACACGCUGCUGCGCAGCUCACCUGGGUCCAUCACGGGCCUGGCGGCGCUGCCGUACAGCCGCUGGAAGAUGCCAUAUGGCAGCAGUGAGCUACGCUUUUUCGACGAGUCGCCGUUCCCGCUCCUGCCAGGCGAGACUGUCGACGAGCCAUCGCCCAUGCCGCUGCUAACGGCUUCAGAGGCGCUCACUCUGGAAGCACUCGCACCGCAUGACGUUGUGGAUCCCGUUACGGGUGCGGCAGUGCACCGCGCCGCUCAGGAAUGCUUUCUUUUCAAAGGACCUGGCCUCUACACCCCACGACUUGACGAGCGCAUCGUGAGCAAGGUGACCGGUGUGUACGUCUCACCGCCGCAGGUGUGCUACCUGUCGGCCAAGUACGACUUCGUGGACGAUGACGGUGUGCCCCGCGUGGCUGGAGAGCAGUGGAUUGUUCAGGCGCAUGGCAUCUUCUUUCCCCACCCCGCCGUGACGCUGCAGGUGCGUGACGCGUACGUGUUGACCAGCUUCGAGGCGUUGACGUUCGUCUCCUACAAAGCCUUCUACGAUGAGGGGUUGCAGGUUGCCCGCGAGGCGCAGAAGCCGUACCUCAUCUCGUACGCGGACACCAAGGACGGAACGUACCUCCCACGGCCGCAUGAGACGUUUCGGGGCCGGAGGAGACAGGUGCACCUCACUGCCACGCAGUACUGCGUCGUGAUCAACCCCGUCGGCGCCGAUGGAACUGCGAGGCUGCACCAAGCCGAGGUUCGCCUGGGGAAGCAGAGCUUCAUGCUGCAGCCCGGUGAGCACUGCACGAAACCUCUCACAGCGCUGGUGCUGAGCGAGGACGAAGCGCUGCUGCAUGUCGCACUGCAGACGUACACGGAGGCGGAUGGAACUGUGCGAGAGGGCGGCUCGCGUUGGCUCGUUCGCGGGCCGCGGCAGUACAUCCCGCCAGUAUACGCGCGGGUGGUGGAGCGACGGCGCAUCAUAAAGGUCGACGAGAACUGCGGCGUCUACGUGCGCAACAUCCACACAGGCAAGGUGCGCUCGGUCUUUGGCAAGCCGUUCAUGCUGGGCGCCGACGAGCAGCUGUGGGAGCGCCCCAUCGGUGCUUAUGUGCGUCGCCUUCUGGCCGAGCCGCGGCAAUCGCUGCGGGUAACGGACAUGUCCGCCAAGGAAAGGGCGGAAGCCUCCUUGGAGGAAGGGUGGGCGGCCACGAGGGUGGAGUGGGACAUGCAAGCGUCGAGCACCGCCGCCGCUGAGGUGGCCGGGGGUGGCUGCUACAGCGCUAGCAGCAGUGGCGAGAGCCUCGACUCUAGCGACGACUUCAUGGAUAGAGGCGAGUGCGCGGACGAGCUGCAGCUGCUCGACGCCGCCACCCGCAACGCGCACCCGCCGCGCCUCUCGCGCCACAUUAGUCGCUAUCACGUCAUCACCGUCAACGUGGAGCACAACACGCUGGUGCGCCUCUACGACACGAGCACCGGCCUCAGCCGCGUUGUGGCCGGCCCCGCCACGGUGUUCCUGGAGCCGCACGAGCACUUCACACCGCUUUCCCUCUCCGGCGGACGUCCGAAGGAACCGCACCAGAUCCACUCGCUAAGCCUCUACCUUGGGCCAGACUACAUGGCCGACGUCAUCGAAGUCGAGACACGCGACCACGCCCGACUGCGGCUUCACCUCGCCUACAACUGGGAGUUUGGUUCCGUAGACUCGAGCGGCAAGGCGGGCAUGGUGGACCCAGAGCUGGCCUUCACCAUCCCGGACUUCAUCGGGGAGGCGUGUAAGGCACUGGCGAGUCGUGUGCGGUCGGCGAUUGCGGGACAGGCCUUCGAGUUCUUCCACUGCAACUCGUCGACGCUCAUUCGCCAGGCGAUCUUCACGCCGGCUGAGGACGGCUCCAUCGUCUCCCACGGCGACUCGCUGUGCUUCACCGCAAACGGCCUCUACAUCACCACGGUAGAUGUGCAGAGCGUGGAGCCGGUGAACAUCAAGACGCGGACCGCGCUGGCGAAGAGCGUGCAGCUCGCGGUGGAAAUAAUCACCAAGGCGCAGGAGAGCGACGCUUCUCACCAAGCGGCGCUCCUCGAGCAGGAGGCGAAGGGUGCGUUGGACCUGCAGGUGAUGCGUGACCGCGCCAAGGCAGAGCAGCAACGCACAGAGCUGCUGCGCGUGAUGGGCGAGAACACGGCGCUGGAGCAGGCCGGCGCCAGUCGUGCGCAGGCGCUGGCUGAGAGCGCCGCGCGUCUGGCAGAGGCGCAGGGAGAGGUAGACGCCACCCCGAUUCGCUGUGCCGCCCACUCCGUCGGCAUGGACACAGAGCUGGAGGUGUUGCGCAAGCGGGCGGAGCUGGACCUCGCACACCGCCAGUCCAUGAACAACCUCGCCAUCGACAAGAUCCGCAAGCUGUCCGACAUCGAAGCGACAAAGUACGAGAAGAUCAUGGCCUCACUCGGGAGUGAGACGCUCAUCGCGAUUGCGAACGCGGGGCCGGAGCUGAAGGCGAAGCUUCUUGGCGAGCUGGGCCUGCAGGGCUUCGUCGUCACGGACGGCAAGACGCCCAUCAACAUACUGAACUUGGCAGACAAGAUGGCUGCCGGGCCAUUGGCCUCCACACCGUCCCCAGCAGCGCCUGGAGCGGCGCGAGUGUCGUGAUAGCACGCGGGCACUUGUGCAAGAGAAAAGCGCGUCCGAGGGGGGAGACAGCGGCACGGCGGUGAAGGCGCGCUUUCCCUCGCUGUUGCCUACGUCCGCAUCGGACAUCUCCGUGCGCACUGGCUACACACAGCGCCAGGGGCUGCCUCACGUCUCUCUCUUUUACUUGCGCAACUCGCCAGUGGUGCGCCGUCGUCAGUUUUGUUUCGCUGCACCUUCCUAUGUCCCGCUACACAUGCGCUCGCAUC
RNAcentral lists this unclassified non-coding RNA (3366 nucleotides) under Leishmania donovani. Its description in RNAcentral is "gene:LdHU3.21.0260(CDS-product:major_vault_protei n-like_protein)". Lineage: Eukaryota; Euglenozoa; Kinetoplastea; Trypanosomatida; Trypanosomatidae. The record is from RNAcentral.